UACUACAUGUAUCAGCUCAGCUCCUCUCUCUCAGAUCCACUUCAAGGAAACACAGAUUUGAAAACUCUCUCCCAUGGUUUUGUCUGAACUGGCUGCCAUUCUGCAGCGCACACUGGAUCCAAUUGCCGGAGUGGGGGAGCCUGAGAGAUGUACUGUCUGUAGGACACGGGUAUACUGAAUACCUGCUUCAAGUCACCUUUCACAUUUUCUCAUUGGAAAAACAACCGUUGGAGAGUCAUCUUGUUACCGUCAGCAAAAGUGGAAACAAAUCAAGACAUUUAGAAUGGCACGGUGGCCAGCAGUUAAUGAUGCCAAUGUUACGCAAGUCAGCUUCGGCAAAGGAAGUUUUCAAGACAGUCUGCUCGCUAGCCAGAAGUCAGGAAAAAUUGAACCUAUUCUUUCCAUCUCAGCUGCUCCUUAAAUCAAUGCAACUCCUCCACAUUAAUGUGAAUUGAAACAUGCAUUGCCUUUCAACUUAA
Long non-coding RNA from Hipposideros armiger (great roundleaf bat), 479 nucleotides. RefSeq lists it as uncharacterized. The transcript is spliced from 2 exons. Lineage: Eukaryota; Metazoa; Chordata; Mammalia; Chiroptera; Hipposideridae. The record is from RefSeq and is a predicted model, not a curated record.